UACAUGCAAGUCGAAACGGUCUUUCUAUGGAAGCUUGCUUCCACUGAGAAGAUAGUGGCGAACGGGUGAGUAACACGUGGGAACCUGCCCAUAAGAGGGGGAUAACAUCCGGAAACGGGUGCUAAUACCGCAUAGUUUUCUUGAUCGCAUGAUCGGGAAAGGAAAGACGGCCUUUGUGCUGUCGCUUAUGGAUGGACCCGCGGCGUAUUAGUUAGUUGGUGAGGUAACGGCUCACCAGACGAUGAUACGUAGCCGACCUGAGAGGGUGAUCGGCCACAUUGGGACUGAGACACGGCCCAAACUCCUACGGGAGGCAGCAGUAGGGAAUCUUCCGCAAUGGACGAAAGUCUGACGGAGCAACGCCGCGUGAGUGAAGAAAAGGUUUUCGGAUCGUAAAACUCUGUUGUCAGAGAAGAACAAGUUGGAGAGUAACUGCUCCAGCCUUGACGGUAUCUGACCAGAAAGCCACGGCUAACUACGUGCCAGCCGCAGC
This 493-nucleotide ribosomal RNA is filed under the name uncultured bacterium. RNAcentral describes it as "bacterial SSU rRNA". It matches the Rfam family "Bacterial small subunit ribosomal RNA", at positions 52 to 518 of the family's 1533-position model. The record is from RNAcentral.